GGCGAGGUAGCUCAAGUAUGUAGAGCAGCCGGUGGUUAAUCGGCAGGUUGUUGGUGCGAAUCCAACCUUUGCCA
RNAcentral lists this transfer RNA (74 nucleotides) under Sodaliphilus pleomorphus. Its description in RNAcentral is "Bacteroidales bacterium Oil-RF-744-WCA-WT-10 tRNA-Asn". It matches the Rfam family "tRNA". Rfam says of the family: Transfer RNA (tRNA) molecules are approximately 80 nucleotides in length. Their secondary structure includes four short double-helical elements and three loops (D, anti-codon, and T loops). Lineage: Bacteria; Pseudomonadati; Bacteroidota; Bacteroidia; Bacteroidales; Muribaculaceae. The record is from RNAcentral.